Molecule: ribosomal RNA, 472 nt
Filed under: uncultured bacterium
Lineage: Bacteria
Description: bacterial SSU rRNA
Rfam family: Bacterial small subunit ribosomal RNA
Source: RNAcentral
GAUGAACGCUGGCGGCGUGCUUAACACAUGCAAGUCGAACGAAGAUGCCGGAGUGCUUGCACUUUGGCAGACUGAGUGGCGGACGGGUGAGUAACGCGUGGGUAACCUGCCUUAUACAGGGGGAUAACAGUUGGAAACGACUGCUAAUACCGCAUAAGCGCACGGUAUCGCAUGAUACAGUGUGAAAAACUCCGGUGGUAUAAGAUGGACCCGCGUCUGAUUAGCUUGUUGGUGAGGUAACGGCCCACCAAGGCGACGAUCAGUAGCCGGCCUGAGAGGGUGAACGGCCACAUUGGGACUGAGACACGGCCCAAACUCCUACGGGAGGCAGCAGUGGGGGAAUAUUGCACAAUGGGGGAAACCCUGAUGCAGCGACGCCGCGUGAGUGAUGAAGUAUUUCGGUAUGUAAAACUCUAUCAGCAGGGAAGAUAAUGACGGUACCUGACUAAGAAGCACCGGCUAAAAUACGUAG